Podarcis lilfordi (Lilford's wall lizard) is the source of this 202-nucleotide non-coding RNA. NCBI's taxonomy places the organism in Eukaryota, Metazoa, Chordata, Lepidosauria, Squamata, Lacertidae. The record is from the annotation of a GenBank genome assembly.
GGAUGUGAGGGCGAUCUGGCUGCAACAUCUGUCACCCCAUUGAUCGCCAGGGUUGAUUCGGCUGAUCUGGCUGGCUAGGCAGGUGUCCCCUUCCUCCCUCACCACUCCAUGCGCGUCCCUCCCAAAGCUGUGCGCUCGGUGGAAGAGGACGACCAUCCCAGAUAGAAGGAGUGUGCCGUUCUUCGGUCAAGGGUAUACUUAA